GGGAGACUACCGUCGUGCCUAGCGCCUGUGAGGUCCCCAAGAGGCCUGGCUUCCCAGGGGCGAGGCCGUGACCCUUUCCUCGUCGGGGCGUCUCUUCGUUGUCUUAAUGAGGCCUUCAGGCUUGACCUUCCAUUCUGCAAAGUCUUCAAAAUACUGAAUGAACUGGCGAUUUAUUGAUUAUACCUUCAUACUAAUGCAGUGUAACAUUUCACAUGCAAUUGGGAUACUUAUUACUUUGAAGAAUAAAGUGGCAGAAUGAAUCCCACUGGACUGUUAAAAGCAAAGAACACUGCAAAAAGCUGUUUGAUAAGGAACUGGGUUUUUUAGCCCUUAUGGACAAUGCAAAGUCAAGAUCCCAGGAAGAGUGUUUCUCAGUAAGAAUGUAAGGUGCAAGGCAGACUAAAGUAUUGCAUAUUGAAGGGUUUUAAAUAGUGCAUGCCCUCAAGGACUGAGGAUUCAAGCCAGUAGACCUGCUAAACUUAAAGUCACAGGGAGAUAAAAAAGAAAAUCGAGACAAGUCUUACAAUUUAGUAAAUGAACCCACUCAAAAUCAGAAUGGAUCAGCUUCUGGGUUAAACCCUCUGGAUAAAACUCUGGAUAAAAAUAGAUAGUAUGUGACCUUCAUUCACUUGGAAAAAAAGCAAAAGCAUAAUAUAUUUAUAUAUAUCUCAGUACCUUUUAAUGAAGCUCUCGGAAGAGAAUAUGUUUUCACAUUAGCAGAAAAACUGUAGAAUAGAAAAGAGGAAGGCCAAAAUGAGAAGAAAGAAAAGAACUAAAAUAAAAAAGUUUUAAGUAGGAGAAAGACUGUAAGAUAUGAAGGAAAAAUCAUAUCUUGUCUAAUUAAAUUAAAAUGUCCAGUGAAUUUUAUAUUCUUUAAUGAAGCCUAUAUUUUUACAUAGAGCACAUAAUCUUUAUUAUAUUUACCUUCUUCAGAUGGAGAACAUGUUUUCCCCUUCUGCUUCAGUGAAACUUUGAUUCACAUUAUGUAUAUUAUUUUGUUGACAAGUCUUAUAUAUUUAUCUUCUAAUAGUUGCUGUUAAUUAGGGAGGGGAAAAUUUUCUGCAUUUCUACAUGAUCAGAUUAUUGCUCUAGAAACUAACUUCUUUCAUUUGUAAAUUGAGUGAUUUGCAUACGAAUUGUUUCACUAGCUUUUUUGGCUUGCCACUAAGGUAGUAUCAUAGUAUCAUAUGAUACAGACCUUCCUUAAAAAAAAAUAUUUUAUUAUUUAUUCAUUGGAGACACACACACAGAGGCAGAGACACAGACAGAGGGAGAAGCAGGCUCCAUGCAGGGAGCCUGAGGUGGGACUGGAUCCUGCUAUUCCAGGCUGAAGGCAGCGCUAAACCACUGAGCCACCCUGGCAGCCCUGAUACAGACCUUCCUAUCUCAAAUUUAAAUUUAAAACAAAAGUAACUCAU
Long non-coding RNA from Canis lupus familiaris (dog), 1418 nucleotides. RefSeq lists it as uncharacterized. The record is from RefSeq and is a predicted model, not a curated record. NCBI's taxonomy places the organism in Eukaryota, Metazoa, Chordata, Mammalia, Carnivora, Canidae. The transcript has 6 exons.